Molecule: ribosomal RNA, 468 nt
Filed under: uncultured bacterium
Lineage: Bacteria
Description: partial 16S ribosomal RNA
Rfam family: Bacterial small subunit ribosomal RNA
Source: RNAcentral
GACGAACGCUGGCGGCGUGCUUAACACAUGCAAGUCGAACGGAAAGGCCCUGCUUUUGUGGGGUGCUCGAGUGGCGAACGGGUGAGUAACACGUGAGUAACCUGCCCUUGACUUUGGGAUAACUUCAGGAAACUGGGGCUAAUACCGGAUAGGAGCUCCUGCUGCAUGGUGGGGGUUGGAAAGUUUCGGCGGUUGGGGAUGGACUCGCGGCUUAUCAGCUUGUUGGUGGGGUAGUGGCUUACCAAGGCUUUGACGGGUAGCCGGCCUGAGAGGGUGACCGGCCACAAUGGGACCGAGAUACGGCCCAGAGUCCUACGGGAGGCAGCAGUGGGGAAUAUUGCACAAUGGGCGGAAGCCUGAGGCAGAAACGCCGCGUGCGGGAUGACAGCCUUCGGGUUUUAAACCGCUUUCGCCUGUGACGAAGCGUGAGUGACGGUAAUGGGUAAAGAAGCACCGGCUAACUACGUG